GUUUUUAUGGUGUAAUUAACACGUUGUAUUUUCGUUACAAAACUGAAAUUCUUUUUCUAAAAACU
RNAcentral lists this transfer RNA (65 nucleotides) under Xenograpsus ngatama. RNAcentral describes it as "tRNA-Glu". The record is from RNAcentral. Lineage: Eukaryota; Metazoa; Arthropoda; Malacostraca; Decapoda; Xenograpsidae.